AUCAUUUCUUGACCUAUUAUCUAAGAUCAAGUGUAGUAUUUGUUCUAGUCAAUGUAAUAUCUGAUACAUCCUCUCUCUGAGGACAAUAUAUUCAGUGGAUUUUUGAAUUUUGGACCAGGAAGUAGGAAUAAGAGUUUUCUCUACCCACUUAACACAUCAACCUGGUAUUGCAGUACCUCCAGAAAUGGUGCACAAAAG
Small nuclear RNA from Sorex fumeus (smoky shrew), 198 nucleotides. RefSeq annotates it as U2 spliceosomal RNA. The transcript has a single exon. Lineage: Eukaryota; Metazoa; Chordata; Mammalia; Eulipotyphla; Soricidae. The record is from RefSeq and is a predicted model, not a curated record.